GUUUGUAUGUCAAGUUCACAUUUAUGCAUACAAGAAUGUCAUUGUUCUUGUGAAGUUGGUUCAUCCCAGUCUUGCCAUCUUUUGCUGGGUUUAGAAUUUUAUUUGCAAGACAUUAUAUUAAGAGUAGAAUAUGAAACUCCCGAGCACAUUGCUUCAACAUCCCAAGCUAUGAUAUGUAAUAAGCCACGUGGGACAAAAGUAAUUCCUGAAGAUGCAAGGUAUCUCACAUUCCAAAAACCUACAAAUAUUUUGAGAAGGAAGGCCCCCGUUGUAACAAAAAUUGCUCUUCAUAGCACUUCUGCGAUGUCGAAUGAAUAAGCAGAUGAUUUGCCCACAAAAUUACAGAAACUAGAAGAACCUUUUUAAAAGAUUGAUAAGAGCAUACCUUUAUCUUUUUUUAUUUCUACAGAGAAUACCAAUCCAGAAAUUACUAUAUUUGGUCAACAAAAUAGAGGAGGGAA
This is a long non-coding RNA of Sitophilus oryzae (rice weevil), 461 nucleotides long. RefSeq lists it as uncharacterized. The transcript has 3 exons. Lineage: Eukaryota; Metazoa; Arthropoda; Insecta; Coleoptera; Curculionidae. The record is from RefSeq and is a predicted model, not a curated record.